AACUGUGGAACAGUGCAGUGCCCUUUUUUGGAGCAACGUACGAGUAGUGCCCAUGGAUUAUGACCCCGCGACCCCAAUCUACGUGGCGGUCCGCAAUUCGCUACUUCAUACUGACUGGCGUCCGGCAUCGUCCCGAAUUUGGCCACAAUCUGCUCUCGGGACCCCUAUAGGGCUCCCUGACCUGCUCCAUCUCCGCCAUCGUCAAUGUACUGCGCAUCCACCCAGGCCAGGACUGCACUUACUUACGGGAAGGAGUAUUUGCAAGAUGGAACCUGGGAACUGGAAGACGACGAAGAGGAAGCGUGGGAAUCCGGCGGCAAUGGCUGGGAUGUAAGUCCAACAUUGCUGGUGCCAGAGUUGCCACUGCUUGCUUAUAAGGGAAUCAUGUGUGUUGCCUUUUUGCCUUUUCCGACGUCCUCCUCCGACUGUACUCCCGAUCCCAGGACUGAACUUACGGGAAGGAGUGCUUCCAAGAUGGGAGACGAAGAAGAAGAAGCCGCUGAAUCCGGCGGCAAUGGCUGGGAUGCUGCGUUCUCGAGAGGAAGCGUUAUUUCUGCAUUCCAAGAAGGACGGCACAAUGUGUCGGACUGUCCGCGUCGCAUUGAACUGGUCCGAUGAGGCUGCUAUUGCACACACAGUGAGGGAACUCCCAUACGGGAACUCGGAAGUACUGCUACAGUACAGGUAUAUCACCCCGUGACGACCACAUCGAAGUCUGAAAUUGAAGUGUGAAGAUGCUUCAGCAACCCCUUCAUAUUUUUCCAUUGCUUUUAUUGUGCUUCUACUGUGCAUGUGUGUAACCUGUGGGGUAUGCAUGUGAUGACAAUGUAUGCCGGUGACACGGUCAGAUGUUGUCCAUGCGUGUAACGUACACCUGCAUGCUAUCGUUGAAAAGGAUCUGCCACUUACGAUCUUCGGACGAGUAUCAGGUCAGCUUGGUUUUGUGUGGGCUGUACCAGACGCUGUUCACUUCUCUAUCUGUUGGAUAUGUGACUUUCUGCAAGUUUCUGGUGUAUGGUGGACACUUCUUUGCUUGUCUUUGUAUGACAUUACAAUAAUUCUGUAUUCACUGCUUCCAUGGUGUGGUCUGCAAACUGCAAUCCUUAGGCAAAUAUCAUCACGGUUUGCAAUAUUGUGCUUUGGCCGCUAGCUUACCUACACAUUGUACAUGUAGUUGAAUUAUUUUUGUUUCACAACUGACUUCCUGAAGUAUGGUGGCCACUGCUUUGCAUGGCAUUAUACAAUGUUCAUCAAGAAUUUCCUGUUUGGGUCGUGUGUGUGUAUGUAUGUGUGUGCGUGCCCAUGUGUGUGUGUGCCAUGUGCAUGUGCGUGUUUGUCACAAGGUGUCUGUGUGCGGGGUAGCGAGGUGGGGAGGGCUGGAAUGUAUCAGUGU
Molecule: long non-coding RNA, 1393 nt
Organism: Sycon ciliatum
Lineage: Eukaryota; Metazoa; Porifera; Calcarea; Leucosolenida; Sycettidae
Exons: 4
Source: RefSeq, a predicted model, not a curated record